AGAGUUUGAUCAUGGCUCAGAUUGAACGCUGGCGGCAGGCUUAACACAUGCAAGUCGAGCGGUAACAGAUCUAGCUUGCUAGAUGCUGACGAGCGGCGGAGGGGUGAGUAACGCAUGGGAAUCUGCCCGAUAGAGGGGGAUAGCCCGGGGAAACCCGGAUUAAUACCGCAUAAACCCUACGGGGAAAAGCAGGGGAUCUUCGGACCUUGCGCUCUUCCGGACCUUGCGCUAUCGGAUGAGCCCAUGUCGGAUUAGCUAGUUGGUGAGGUAAGAGCUCACCAAGGCGACGAUCCGUAGCUGGUCUGAGAGGAUGAUCAGCCACACUGGGACUGAGACACGGCCCAGACUCCUACGGGAGGCAGCAGUGGGGAAUAUUGCACAAUGGGCGCAAGCCUGAUGCAGCCAUACGGCGUGUGUGAAGAAGGCUCUAGGGUCGUAAAGCACUUUAAGCAGGGAGGAAAGGAUUGUAGUUAAUAGCUACGAUCUGUGACGUUACCUGCAGAAUAAGCACCGGCUAACUCCGUGCCAGCAGCCGCGGUAAUACGGAGUGUGCAAGCGUUAAUCGGAAUUACUGGGCGUAAAGCGCGCGUAGGCGUAUUGUAGGUGGGAUGUGAAAGCCCCGGGCUCAACCUGGGACUGCACCCAAACUGGCAAGCUAAAUGCGGAAAAAGAAUGUGAUUCCUGUGUACGGUGAAAUGCUGAAUUUGAAGGACCCCAUGGCAGCAACCUUGUCUGACUGACCUAGUCAAAGCUGGGGACACAGGACCUGGUAGUCCACGCCGUAAACGAUGUCAACUAGCCGUUGGAGGGCUUGUCCCUUUAGUGGCGCAGCUAAAGCGAUAAGUUGACCGCCUGGGGAGUACGGCCGCAAGGUUAAAACUCAAAUGAAUUGACGGGGGCCCGCACAAGCGGUGGAGCAUGGGUUUAAUUCGAUGCAACGCGAAGAACCUUACCAGGUCUUGACAUCCCGAGAAUUUACUAGAGAUAGUUUAGUGCCUUCGGGAACUCGGUGACAGGUGCUGCAUGGCUGUCGUCAGCUCGUGUCGUGAGAUGUUGGGUUAAGUCCCGUAACGAGCGCAACCCUUGUCCUUAGUUGCCAGCACGUAAUGGUGGGAACUCUAAGGAGACUGCCGGUGACAAACCGGAGGAAGGUGGGGACGACGUCAAGUCAUCAUGGCCCUUACGACCUGGGCUACACACGUGCUACAAUGGGCGGUACAAAGGGUUGCCAAGCCGCGAGGUGGAGCUAAUCCCAUAAAACCGUUCGUAGUCCGGAUUGGAGUCUGCAACUCGACUCCAUGAAGUCGGAAUCGCUAGUAAUCGUGAAUCAGAACGUCACGGUGAAUACGUUCCCGGGCCUUGCACACACCGCCCGUCACACCAUGGGAGUGGGUUGCUCCAGAAGUGGCUAGUCUAACCUUCGGGAGGACGGUCACCACGGAGUGAUUCAUGACUGGGGUGAAGUCGUAACAAGGUAGCCGUA
RNAcentral lists this ribosomal RNA (1483 nucleotides) under uncultured prokaryote. RNAcentral's name for it is "partial 16S ribosomal RNA". It matches the Rfam family "Bacterial small subunit ribosomal RNA". The record is from RNAcentral.